GAGACUGCGAAUGCUGACAUGAGUAACGAUAAAGCGGGUGAAAAGCCCGCUCGCCGGAAGUCCAAGGGUUCCUGCGCAACGCUAAUCGGCGCAGGGUUAGUCGGCCCCUAAGGUGAGGCUGAAGAGCGUAAUCGAUGGGAAACGGGUUAACAUUCCCGUACUUGUUGUAACUGCGAUGGAGAGACGGAGAAGGCUAGGCCAGCGCGGCGAUGGUUGUCCGCGUUUAAGGCGGUAGGCUGGUGACUUAGGUAAAUCCGGGUUGCUAAGGCCGAGAACUGAUGACGAGUGUCUCUUUGAGACGCGAAGUGGUUGAUGCCA
Molecule: ribosomal RNA, 318 nt
Filed under: Leptocylindrus danicus
Lineage: Eukaryota; Bacillariophyta; Leptocylindrophyceae; Leptocylindrales; Leptocylindraceae
Description: partial Bacterial large subunit ribosomal RNA
Rfam family: Bacterial large subunit ribosomal RNA
Source: RNAcentral